GUUUCAGCAGCACAGACAUUGGGGAGAACAGUGGAGACAGGUAACAUGGCUGAAAAAACUGAUGAUCACCAUGACCGGUCUCAGAUGGAUCAGAACAAAGAUACAACAGAACAAGGAAAGCCAGCUGUUGUAUUGUCAGGGAACAAGUACUUCGUUAUUCAAACUGGAGUAACAUUUAAUUCUGAUGUAAACUUUAUAGCUAAGCUCAAAAAGAAAAUCCCCUCAUUGCAGAAGGUGAAUAAUGUGGAGGAGUGUGAUUUCAUUCUGGUUUUCUGCCCUGUUGUUUCAUGAGCUGGAACUGACAUUGAAAGUGCAGAGAAAAAGCUUGAUGCUACUUCGGCCACAAAACCUGCUGUUCUGGUGGUGCUUCAUCACACGUUUGAUCCAGAGUGUGUUGUACCAGACAGCUGUAGAGCUGUAACAAGAGCGAAUAUGGUAACAGUCGACUGUCUGUUCCAUGAAGAUCAGGGAUUACUGAACUGCUAUAAAAAUACCAAAGCAA
Molecule: long non-coding RNA, 502 nt
Organism: Tachysurus vachellii
Lineage: Eukaryota; Metazoa; Chordata; Actinopteri; Siluriformes; Bagridae
Exons: 4
Source: RefSeq, a predicted model, not a curated record